Molecule: transfer RNA, 65 nt
Filed under: Parantica sita
Lineage: Eukaryota; Metazoa; Arthropoda; Insecta; Lepidoptera; Nymphalidae
Also listed under: 2 other names
Description: tRNA-Glu
Source: RNAcentral
AUUUAUAUAGUUUAAAAAAAACAUUACACUUUCAUUGUAAAAAAAAUAAAAUUUAUUUAUAAAUA